CCCCAAAAACACCCCAAAACACCCCAAACACAGGGACUGGGAUGGGGAAACGGGACACAACACCCCAAAAACAGGGACUGGGAUCGGGGAAAUGGGACACAACACCCCAAAAACACCCCAAAACAGGGACUGGGAUUGGGGAAAUGGGACACAACACCCCAAACAGGGAUUGGGAUUGGGGAAAUGGGACACAACACCCAAAACACCCCAAACACAGCUGGCGGUGCAAGAAAUGGGAGCCCUGGGGUUCGGUGCUGUGGAGAUUCGGGGUUUUGUGGGAAAUCUGACAUUGGGAAUUGCCCAAUUCCUGAGAACUUUGGGGUUGGUGUUGUGGGAGUCAGGAGAUUCGGGGUUUGUGGGAUCACAACAUUGGAAAUUCCCCAAUUCCUGGGAAUUUCGAUGUCUCUACCAGAGCCAGUUCGGGGUCAGCACUGGGAUCCAGCCUGAACUCGAAGCUGGAGGCGCCCAGGCCCAGCAGGAUUUGGGGAAUUGGGACAUUUGGGGUUUUGGUGCUGUAAACACCC
RNAcentral lists this long non-coding RNA (524 nucleotides) under Zonotrichia albicollis (white-throated sparrow). RNAcentral's name for it is "lncRNA (ENSZALG00000001102.1)". The record is from RNAcentral. Lineage: Eukaryota; Metazoa; Chordata; Aves; Passeriformes; Passerellidae.